Long non-coding RNA from Bombyx mori (domestic silkworm), 729 nucleotides. RefSeq lists it as uncharacterized. The record is from RefSeq and is a predicted model, not a curated record. Lineage: Eukaryota; Metazoa; Arthropoda; Insecta; Lepidoptera; Bombycidae. The transcript has 2 exons.
UACAAAGAAAAACGCACCAACCGAGAAUCUAAUCUAUGGCGUUAUUUAGAACCUGAGUAAACAAACGUCCAUUAGUUUAAAAUUCAAUUACACACAAAAAAAAUGAUCGCACAACGAGGAUAAAAGAAACUGCCGAAAAUGGGGGGUAUCGGUCAAGGCGACUAAGGGGUUCGUCGGAGAAUGGGCAGCGGCAUUCUUCAUAUAUUAUAACCGGUCGUUCUCGUCGAACUCGUCGCUUGCGACGAAGGGCUCGAUGAGUACAUACAUAUAUAUUAUAACAGCAUACUUCGAUCGCCAACCUUUAGGCGGCCGGACAGGAAGCCUCUGCGGGUAGAUACCACCAUCCUCCUAAUUGCUGCCGCAAAGCAUAUCAUAAGCUUAGUGGCGGCAUUCAUGUUGGGAUGUGUAAUGGGGACCUUAACCAGUUGUGCGGUGAGCUCGUUCAGUCAUGUAAGAAAGAAUAAAGUCAAAAACAUCGGCUUCACUAUGCUUCCAUCACCGCUAAUGUCCAAUAAUUAUAGUAAAAUUUGUUAAGCCCCGAUGAUUCGAAGUUGAAUCGAAAAAAUAUAAAAAAAUAAUCAGAAUAUUAGCUUCUUUGAUUAUAUAAUUGUUAAACAGUUGUUUCGUCGCAUCGUAUACAUUUCAGAUCCUUUUAUUUACAUUGUAAAUAUUUAGUUUAAAUAACAGCAAAUAAAAAGAACAAGAACUAUGUACAUGUUGCAAACAAAA